This 255-nucleotide ribosomal RNA is filed under the name uncultured bacterium. RNAcentral describes it as "partial 16S ribosomal RNA". It matches the Rfam family "Bacterial small subunit ribosomal RNA", at positions 524 to 778 of the family's 1533-position model. The record is from RNAcentral.
UACGAAGGGGGCGAGCGUUGUUCGGAAUUACUGGGCGUAAAGGGCGCGUAGGCGGCCGAGCAAGUUAGAUGUGAAAGUCCUGGGCUUAACCUGGGGACUGCAUUUGAUACUGCUUGGCUUGAAUUCGGGAGAGGAUAGCGGAAUUCCCAGUGUAGAGGUGAAAUUCGUAGAUAUUGGGAAGAACACCGGUGGCGAAGGCGGCAUUCUGGACCGAUAUUGACGCUGAGGAGCGAAAGCGUGGGGAGCGAACGAGGA